RNAcentral lists this ribosomal RNA (473 nucleotides) under uncultured bacterium. RNAcentral describes it as "bacterial SSU rRNA". It matches the Rfam family "Bacterial small subunit ribosomal RNA", at positions 328 to 793 of the family's 1533-position model. The record is from RNAcentral.
GCAGAGCACUCCUACGGGGGGCAGCAGUGGGGAAUAUUGCACAAUGGGGGAAACCCUGAUGCAGCCAUGCCGCGUGUGUGAAGAAGGCCUUCGGGUUGUAAAGCACUUUCAGUAGGGAGGAAGGUAGUGUAGUUAACACCUGCACUAUUUGACGUUACCUACAGAAGAAGCACCGGCUAACUCCGUGCCAGCAGCCGCGGUAAUACGGAGGGUGCGAGCGUUAAUCGGAAUUACUGGGCGUAAAGCGCAUGCAGGCGGCCUGUUAAGUCAGAUGUGAAAGCCCCGGGGCUUAACCUCGGAAUUGCAUUUGAAACUGGCAGGCUAGAGUCUUGUAGAGGGGGUAGAAUUUCAGGUGUAGCGGUGAAAUGCGUAGAGAUCUGAAGGAAUACCAGUGGCGAAGGCGGCCCCCUGGACAAAGACUGACGCUCAGAUGCGAAAGCGUGGGGAGCAAACAGGAUUAGAUACCCUGGUAG